This 1022-nucleotide ribosomal RNA is filed under the name Janthinobacterium sp. LS1-MRL. RNAcentral describes it as "bacterial SSU rRNA". It matches the Rfam family "Bacterial small subunit ribosomal RNA", at positions 33 to 1048 of the family's 1533-position model. Lineage: Bacteria; Pseudomonadati; Pseudomonadota; Betaproteobacteria; Burkholderiales; Oxalobacteraceae. The record is from RNAcentral.
GGGCUGGGCGCUGCCUUAACAUGCAAAGUCGACGGCAGCACGGAGCUUGCUCUGGUGGCGAGUGGCGAACGGGUGAGUAAUAUAUCGGAACGUACCCUGGAGUGGGGGAUAACGUAGCGAAAGUUACGCUAAUACCGCAUACGAUCUAAGGAUGAAAGUGGGGGAUUCGCAAGAACCUCAUGCUCGUGGAGCGGCCGAUAUCUGAUUAGCUAGUUGGUAGGGUAAAAGCCUACCAAGGCAUCGAUCAGUAGCUGGUCUGAGAGGACGACCAGCCACACUGGAACUGAGACACGGUCCAGACUCCUACGGGAGGCAGCAGUGGGGAAUUUUGGACAAUGGGCGCAAGCCUGAUCCAGCAAUGCCGCGUGAGUGAAGAAGGCCUUCGGGUUGUAAAGCUCUUUUGUCAGGGAAGAAACGGUGAGGGCUAAUAUCCUCUGCUAAUGACGGUACCUGAAGAAUAAGCACCGGCUAACUACGUGCCAGCAGCCGCGGUAAUACGUAGGGUGCAAGCGUUAAUCGGAAUUACUGGGCGUAAAGCGUGCGCAGGCGGUUUUGUAAGUCUGAUGUGAAAUCCCCGGGCUCAACCUGGGAAUUGCAUUGGAGACUGCAAGGCUAGAAUCUGGCAGAGGGGGGUAGAAUUCCACGUGUAGCAGUGAAAUGCGUAGAUAUGUGGAGGAACACCGAUGGCGAAGGCAGCCCCCUGGGUCAAGAUUGACGCUCAUGCACGAAAGCGUGGGGAGCAAACAGGAUUAGAUACCCUGGUAGUCCACGCCCUAAACGAUGUCUACUAGUUGUCGGGUCUUAAUUGACUUGGUAACGCAGCUAACGCGUGAAGUAGACCGCCUGGGGAGUACGGUCGCAAGAUUAAAACUCAAAGGAAUUGACGGGGACCCGCACAAGCGGUGGAUGAUGUGGAUUAAUUCGAUGCAACGCGAAAAACCUUACCUACCCUUGACAUGGCUGGAAUCCUUGAGAGAUUCGGGGAGUGCUCGAAAGAGAACCAGUACACAGGUGCUGCAUGG